GACGAACGCUGGCGGCGUGCUUAACACAUGCAAGUCGAACGGAAAGGCCCUGCUUUUGUGGGGUGCUCGAGUGGCGAACGGGUGAGUAACACGGGAGUAAUCUGCCCUUGUCUUUGUGAUAACUUCAGGAAACUGGGGCUAAUACCGGAUAGGAGCUCCUGCUGCAUGGUGGGGGUUGGAAAGUUUCGGCGGUUGGGGAUGGACUCGCGGCUUAUCAGCUUGUUGGUGGGGUAGUGGCUUACCAAGGCUUUGACGGGUAGCCGGCCUGAGAGGGUGACCGGCCACAUUGGGACUGAGAUACGGACCAGACUCCUACGGGAGGCAGCAGUGGGGAAUAUUGCACAAUGGGCGGAAGCCUGAUGCAGCAACGCCGCGUGCGGGAUGACGGCCUUCGGGUUGUAAACCGCUUUCGCCUGUGACGAAGCGUGAGUGACGGUAAUGGGUAAAGAAGCACCGGCUAACUACGUG
RNAcentral lists this ribosomal RNA (468 nucleotides) under uncultured bacterium. Its description in RNAcentral is "partial 16S ribosomal RNA". It matches the Rfam family "Bacterial small subunit ribosomal RNA", at positions 28 to 507 of the family's 1533-position model. The record is from RNAcentral.